UUCUUGGAUUAUAACUCCUGUUGGUGGAAUUAACCCAGAAGGAAUAUAGACUACAGGGAAAUAUUUCCACAUCUGAAGUAUCUGCAGAUUUUAAAGGAUGGAUGGUCUGAAUGCAAUCAAACUUCUUCUAGCUCUUACAUUUGUUCAUGGUAAGGUCAAGUUUUUGGGCUUUUUACAUUUUUAUUUUAAAGAGAAUUAUGCUGAAAUAUGGUAUGCCGAAAUGGUACUUUGACUCGGAUGUUUGGGCAAGUCCAAGAAUUUGCGCAUGUUACGUAUGGGACAUUUCAGAGGCUUUAAUGACCUGAAAAAAUAGAGUUAAAUGACUUUGAUUAGAUUGUAUACCCUCAUUGGUGAGUAUCUAGGAGAAGAAUAAUCAUACAAAAAAUGGUGACAUAUGACCUUGACCUUUUAGAGAGAAAAGAUGAGCUGUUACGUAUGGGACACAGAAAAAAGACAAUUUUUCAAAGUUGAAAAUUCUCUAAAAGUAUUUCAAUUGACAACUUGUAAGUCACAACACUCUAGUAUAAAGGCAAGUUUCAUGUCAUAAGCCCAAACCGUCUAAUUACCGACACUAAUUAAACAGAUUAAUGACUUGUUAUAUACAUGUAUAUGGGACAGUUACGUAUAGGACAUUUUGUCCCUAUAGAGAACGUACAUGUACACAAUUUUCCCCAUAAUUUUAAAACUGAAAAUAAUCUAAAAUAUGGAAUUAUCAAGAGUUGUUUCUUUUAAACUGUUCUAUUGAGAUAUAGUUCAUAUGACUGAAAAGGGAAUUAUCCAUUUCAACAUUUUUGUCCCGCCUGCAUAGCAGAGCGAGACUAUAGGCACCGCUUUUCCGACGGCGGCGGCGGCGUCGUCAACAUUGAAAUCUUAACCAAGGUUAAGUUUUUGAAAUGUCAUCAUAACUUAGAAAGUAUAUGGACCUAGUUCAUAAAACUUGGACAAAAGGGUAAUCAAGUAUUACUGAACAUCCUGCUCGAAUUUCAGGUCACAUGACCAAGGUCAAAGGUCAUUUAGGGUCAACUAACUUGACCAUGUUGGGGGAAUCAAUGUAAAAAUCUUAACCAAGGUUAAGUUUUUGAAAUGUCGUCAUAACUUCGAAAGUAUAUGGACCUAGUUCAUGAAACUUGGAUAUAAAGAUGAUAGGGUAUCAUUGAAGAUCCUGCUUAAGUUUCAGGUCACAUGACCAAGGUCAAAGGUCAUUUAGGGUCAACGAUCUUUGAUAAUGUUUGGGGUAUUUGUGGAAUUGUCAUAAAACUUUAGAAUUUUAUAGAUCUAAUUCAUAGAAACUUGGGACAUACAUUAAGAGGAACCAUGUAUGUAAUAUCUUGUGCUUGUUUCAGGUCACAUGACCAAAAUCAAAGGUCAUUUUUUAAUAGGGUCAAUGAACUUUGGCCAUGUUGGGAUUGUUGAAUUGGCAUCAUAACUUAGAAAGUUUAUAGAUCUACACAUGUAGUUUAUGAAACAGAUAUAAGCAGGGUGCUACAUAACUUUUUAGAAGCGCUUGCCCGGUCAGGCAAGUAAAUUUUUAAAUAGUUGGAAUAUACUUGCCAAAAAUCUAUUUUACUUGCCAAAAAAAAACCUUGGAAAAAAAGCUUUACCUCUUCAAAAGAAAGUUUUGCGGUUUUAUAAACCAUAGACCUUUUUCUCUUUUGACAUGAACUGAUCUACCUUGUUAUUGCAUUUCUUUUUCCAAAGAGAUUUUAAAUAUCUUGCCUGCCAUGACCAAAAUUAUGGUCAAUAUCAUAUAUCGACCCUAAUUUUGGUCAUUCUACAUGUACUGUUAGAAUUUUACUUGCCCGGUUCAGGCAAGUACUUUUGGUCUUAACUUCAAAACACUUGCCCGACUCUAACUUUUACUUGCCCUGGGCAAUCGGGCAAGUGCUUAUGUAGCACCCUGUUAGGGAUAUAUUCAAGUUGUCUUGCACAUACUGUCUGAGGUCAUAUGAUCAUGUUCGAAGGUCAUGUUGGGUAAAUGGACAUUGUCUUUUAUUAUCAUAUGAGUGUUUUCUUCAUGAAUAAUUAUUUAAAAGCUGUUUUCAAAGUCAGCACUGCUGGUAUACAAAUCGCGUAAUGCAGGCGAGACUGCCAGAGGCGUUCCACUUGUUAAUAUUUUCCCUCAAUUGAGCAGGAUCUACAGAACUAGGCCUUAGUUUUUAACACUGAAAUAUAGUAAUGUUCUCAUUUCGAUCUAUUGAUGUAACUGGUGUUAGCAGUGCACUUUCUGCUGAUUAACGUAUAUGAGAGUAAAAUUUUUGAUGUUCUUUUUGUUUGAGCUUCAAUUCAAUUAAUUCAGGCUUUAUGGAAGCGGGACCAGCAUGUUUUAUUUCUUCAUUUUCUUAUCCGAAUUCAUCAAUGUCUCCCAUUAUCAUUGGGUCGCCAAUUCAUAUAAUAAUAUGUUGCAUUUAUGAGGCACUGAUUAAUGGUGCACUCUAUGCAUUUUAUAAUUCAUACUAUAAUCCAUGGGAUGCCAUUUUAUCACUGCAAAUGUCAGCUGAUGUAUCUGUAGCCUUGGUUUUUGUCUCACCUGCAUAGAAGAGUGAGACUAUUAUAAUAGGCGCCGCUUUUCCGACGGCCUAUGUUGGAGGUAAUUAUUACAUGGCUGUCAUAACUUUCAAAGUUUAUGGAUAUAAUUUAUGAAUUGUGGACAAGGGGGUAAUGAAAUAUCACUGACAAGUCUUAGGAGACAUGAUCAAGGUCAAAUGUCAUUUAGGGUCAAUGAACGUACAUGUAUUGUAUCAUUAUAUGAAUGUUUUUGUUUUUAAUAAUUAUUUUAUAAUAGUUUUCAAAGUCAGCACUGCUGCUAUAUUGAAUCGCGUAAUGCAGGUGAGACUGCCAGAGGCGCUCCACUUGUUUUUUCUUGUUUUUCAUGGUUUCAUGAAUUUCUUAUGUAUUUCUAUUGUUUUUUAUUUUUUUCAUAUUUUUCCAUUUUCAUUAUUAUUAUUAUUACUUAUUAUUUGUACUGCGCUUUUCCCAUUAGGCCCAAAGCGCUUACAAUGAAUUAAUUAAAUGUAAUAUUUUAAAAACUACAAAGUACGAAAGAGAUGAGUUUUUAAUGACUUUUUGAAAAUUGCUAAUGUUGGAGACUGUCUAAUUAUUAGUGGCAGGUCGUUCCAGGAUUUUGAAGCCGACACUGUAAAAGUUCUGUCACCAGCUAAUGUACGAGUUAAUGAAUAUGUGAGGCGAAGGUGAUCACUGGCCAACCUAAGUGCUCUAGUUGGUGUAUACAGAUUCAAGCAGUUACUUAAAUACUGUGGAGCCUGUUUAUUCAGUGUUUUGUAGACAAUCAAGAGUAAUUUGAACGUAAUUCUCUGUUUAAAAGGAAGCCAGUGAAGAGAAUUAAAGAGUGGUUGGGAAGGAUGAUCUCGGGAAACCUGUAAAAUUAAUCGUGCUGCCCAAUUUUGUAGUCGUUGAAUACGAAUUAAUUGAUUAGAGGGAAUUGUAGAAAGGAGCCCAUUGCAAUAAUCAAUACGAGACAGAACCAAUGAACGAACAGCAUUGUGACAGGCAGACUGGUCAAUGAACCUUCUGAUUCUAGAAAUGUUCCUUAAAUAAAAAGUGACUGUGCUACAGAUAUGAGAGAUAUGGUACGACAUUGACAUGCGGGAAUCAAAUAUGACACCAAGGUUUCUUAUUUUUUCUGAUGGUCUAAAGAGUGUACCAUCAACAUCAAGUUGAACAUUUGGAAGAUUGCGCAAGUUAUAAGUAGAGGCCGCAACAAAAAAUUCAGUUUUUUUGUCAUUUAAUUUUAGCUUAUUCACUAUCAUCCACUGUCUUAUAUCUGAUAUACAAUUCUGGAGUUUAACCAGUGCAUUAUUGAGAGCUCCAGGAGUCUUCGGAUCAAAAGAAACGUAUAGUUGUACUGUAUGUCAUCAGCAUAAAAAUGAUAAUUGAUACAGUGAUUUCGGAUGAUGUCGCCAACUGGAAGAGUAUAUAUUGAGUAGCCUAUGGGUCCGACUAUUGACCCCUGAGGGAGUCCAAAUUCUAGAGUUAUGGGAUUUGACAAUGUGCCGUCAAUAUCAACUUGCGAAGUCCAUCCAGACAGGUAUGAUUGGAACCAGGAUAAGACUUUGGACCUAACGCCUAUUCUAUUGAAUAACCGAGAUAUGAAAAUGUUAUGAUCUAUUGUAUCAAACGCGACAGAUAAAUCUAACAGCACCAUAAAAACUACAUUAUUUGAGUCGAGAGAAAACAUGAUAUCAUUUUUUACUUUGAUCAGAGCUGACUCGGUGCUGUGACCUGGCCUAUAGGCAGAUUGGAGAGGAUCAAAAAUAUUAUUAGAUUCAAUAUGAUCAGCUAGUUGAGUACAUGCCGCCUUCUCGAUGAGUUUACCUAGAAAUGUUAAGUUUGAGACCGGUCUAUAAUUACUGAUGUCAUUUACGUCCAUGAAUUUUUUUUUUCAUUAAUCAGCAUUUAUAACAAAUCAGUCUUUAGCAACUAAAGAAAAGGUUUCGGUAUAUAAAUCACUUUUAAGAGCACUCUUGAAAUUUGUUUUUCUCCAUUCACAAAUCUCCCCAUUGACAUUGUGUGUAAAUGUCCCAUACGUAACAAUUUUUUAAUGAACUUUGAAUUGAAAAGCUAACUAUAUUUUUGAAACUAUUUGUGGUAUAACAUUUUCAUACUCAAUUAAUUAAAACUUCCCAGAGAUGCAAUAAUACAAGCAUUGUAUUCUAAAAAAUAACUUUAAAAAAAUCCUCAAAAUGUUACGAAUGGGGCAUUUCAUCCUUGGACAUGAUCUAAUUUGCAUAUUUAAUUCAAUGACACCACUCUUUUCCCUCAAAAGUGAUAAGAUGUUUAGGGGAUCCAUGUCCCACAGGUCUAUUAAAAUCUCACAAGUUUUGUUUAAAUUUUCGAUGAAUUUUUAUAAUUGUCCCAUCUGUAACGCCCAUUUUACCAAUUUUGUAAAUUAGAUGCCCCAAAUUUGCAUGUUGUAUGCAUUUGUUUUCAUAUUGUUAUAAAAAAUGUUAUCAAAUUUUUAUGCCCCCGCAGACAUACAUGUAGUUCGGAGGGGGCAUUAAGCGUUGCCCCUUUACUUUCGUCCCCCACUUGGUUUCCGCUCAAUAACCUGAAAAAUAAUCAUUGGAUUUGAAAUUUUUUUGGUGUGUACAUGGAGGUAGAUGACUCCAAAAUACAGGCUAAGUUUGAAUUUGGAGUCCGCAGGUCAAAGCUCACAGCUCAUUAAAUAUGUGAGUUGGUUUACGCGCAAAUAACUUGAAAAUUUAAGGGAUUAAAAAAAAAUUUGAUGUAAGUAGAUGACACCAAAAUACAGGCUAGGUUAGGUACGCUACUCUAGCGCGAGAGGGCGCGAUUUUCGCGUCAUCAUUUUCGCGUACGAAAAUGGCGACAAGCUGCUUCGGGAGCCGGUGCGAGCAAUAACGGCAAGCCCUACUUGAGUCUCCUGUCUAGGAUGGUAAACGUAUAUCAAUGGGAAUGAAAACGAUGACAUCAUCUUCCCAAUGCAUUCAGCUAUACUGCACGGUAAGCUCUUGCGACGGAGGGUCGAGAUCGGAACAAUAAUUGCACUAAAACAGUCUAUUAAUUUCUUACCUCCAUUUGAGCAUGGCAAUACUUACUGAUCUGAAGUCGAGGGGCCCAACAAUGAACAGACUUGGGCUGCAUGAGCCGUCGAAUAUCUGUGGUUCCAAGAAAGCGUGAUGGAAAUGCCGCCUUAAAAAAACCAACCCCACCUCUGCCUCUGGUCUUUGUUCUUGGCGAUCCUGCAUUCCAUUCAGACUGCAACUUUAAGCAGGAAUUGUUCUACCAACUACUUAAUUAUUCACAAAUGUGAAUUGCAGCUUUUAAAUUGACAAGAAAGAAACAAUUGAUUUAUCUCACCCCCCCCCCCCCCCCAACUGUCUUCUAACAUUUUCUAUCACCCCAAACUAACACUUUUUUUCUUGUAUGUCUGUUUAAAUAUUUUUAUUUAGACUUUAUGUAAUUUUUUCAUGAUUUAUUUAAGAAGUAUGAGCAAAAAAACAAACAAUUUGGCACAUGCAGUAGAGAAGAGAAGGAACAUAGUGUUGAAAAAGGAUACACAUACAGAUCUGAAUAUUAAAAUAAAUUUAAAAAAGAAAUGACAAAUCCACACUGACACAUGAAAGUAUUCAUUUUAUUUUUUUUCCUUGUUGGCAUUGGUUACAUUAAUUAACUCCACAUAAAAAUAUAAAUUGGAUAUUUUAACAGUAUUAAUGAAGUUGCUCAAUAAAAUUUAAAAUUAGGUAUUCUCAUUGGAGGUAAUGGUUGAUACAGAUGGGUGGGUGGACCUGCAGCCACUAGCGUACCUAUGGGGGGGGCAGACUGCCCCCCCCCCCCGACGAGUCACAACCCAUGCAAGGGACGUAUCCCUGCCCUCCCCCCCUGAUGAGCCACCGGUGGCCCCCUCCUUUGAAGUUUAAGACCGAAAGUACGAAAUCCUUUAUUUGUGGUUGAAGACUUUUUUGCUUGUCAAAUUUUUGGGCGGACGAUUUUGCCCCCCCCCCCCCCCUGUGGAAAAUCCUAGGUACGCUACUGCCUGCAGCUCUAUUGUUUUAUUAGAUUUUCAUUUUUUAUUGCUGGGGGGGGGGGGUAUUAUGUAGAGCUGAAGCCAAAUGAUCUUAUGAGGCAAGAUUCAGUGUACAGCUCAAUAUGAUGCAUGUAAAGUGAUUUAUUAAACUUUUGAAAUAUCAAUUAAGAACUGGAAUGAUGAAUGAUAUGAAUAUAAGAAAUAUAUUAAAUGCAUGUAAAGUGAUUUAUUAAACUUUUGAAAUAUCAAUUAAGAACUGGAAUGAUGAAUGUUAUGAAUAUAAGAAAUCUAUUAUAUGCUAGUUCAUCACAACUUUAG
This is a long non-coding RNA of Lytechinus pictus (painted urchin), 6820 nucleotides long. RefSeq lists it as uncharacterized. The transcript has 2 exons. Lineage: Eukaryota; Metazoa; Echinodermata; Echinoidea; Temnopleuroida; Toxopneustidae. The record is from RefSeq and is a predicted model, not a curated record.